GACGAACGCUGGCGGCGUGCUUAACACAUGCAAGUCGAACGAUGAAGAAGAGAAACGCGAACUUCGGUUCAAAUUUCACUUCGGAUUAGUGGCAGACGGGUGAGUAACGCGUGAGCAACCUACCUCUUACAAAGGGAUAGCCUCGGGAAACCGUGAUUAAUACCAUAUGACACAUUCAUAAGGCAUCUUAAGAAUGUUAAAGCUACGGCGGUAAGAGAUGGGCUCGCGUCCCAUUAGCUAGUUGGUGAGGUAACGGCCCACCAAGGCGACGAUGGGUAACCGGCCUGAGAGGGUGAACGGUCACAUUGGAACUGAGACACGGUCCAAACUCCUACGGGAGGCAGCAGUGGGGAAUAUUGCGCAAUGGAGGGAACUCUGAUGCAGCGACGCCGCGUGAGCGAUGAAGGAAUUCGUUUCGUAAAGCUCUGUUCUAUGGGAAGAAAAGGACUGUACCAUAGGAGAAAGCCCCGGCUAAAUACGUG
RNAcentral lists this ribosomal RNA (482 nucleotides) under uncultured bacterium. Its description in RNAcentral is "partial 16S ribosomal RNA". It matches the Rfam family "Bacterial small subunit ribosomal RNA", at positions 28 to 507 of the family's 1533-position model. The record is from RNAcentral.